Molecule: transfer RNA, 66 nt
Filed under: Phaneroptera nigroantennata
Lineage: Eukaryota; Metazoa; Arthropoda; Insecta; Orthoptera; Tettigoniidae
Description: tRNA-Pro
Source: RNAcentral
CAGAGGGUAGUUUAGGACAAAAUAUUAAUUUUGGGGAUUAAUGAAGAAGAUUUUCUUUCCGUCUGA